Molecule: unclassified non-coding RNA, 283 nt
Filed under: Neotrichosphaeria sp.
Lineage: Eukaryota; Fungi; Ascomycota; Sordariomycetes; Xylariales
Description: partial contains 5.8S ribosomal RNA, internal transcribed spacer 2, and large subunit ribosomal RNA
Rfam family: 5.8S ribosomal RNA (bases 1-71)
Source: RNAcentral
GUGAGUCAUCGAAUCUUUGAACGCACAUUGCGCCCACCGGUAUUCCGGUGGGCAUGCCUGUCCGAGCGUCAUUAAGACCACACUUGGGCUUCUGUCCAGCGUUGGGGAUCCGCCCAGGCGGUCCCUUAAAUUCACCGGCGGAGUCGCGGUGGCCUCUAAGCGUAGUACUUGCUCUCGCUUCUGACGGCGCCGCGCCCCCUGCCGUAAAACCCCCAAUUUUUCUGGUUGACCUCGGAUCAGGUAGGGAUACCCGCUGAACUUAAGCAUAUCAAUAAGCGGAGGA